RNAcentral lists this ribosomal RNA (245 nucleotides) under uncultured bacterium. RNAcentral describes it as "partial 16S ribosomal RNA". It matches the Rfam family "Bacterial small subunit ribosomal RNA", at positions 524 to 770 of the family's 1533-position model. The record is from RNAcentral.
UACGUAGGUAGCGAGCGUUACUCGGAUUUACUAGGUGUAAAGGGCAGGUAGGUGGUUGGAUAAGUUGAGAGUAAAAGCCCCGACGAAAUCGGGGACGUCUCUCAAUACUGUUCGACUUGAGUGUGGUAUGGGGGACCAGAAUUCCAGGUGUAGCGGUGAAAUGCGUAGAUAUCUGGAGGAAUACCGAUGGCUAAAGCGGGUCCCUGAGCCAUUACUGACACUGAGCUGCGAAAGCGUGGGGAGCA